This 482-nucleotide ribosomal RNA is filed under the name uncultured bacterium. RNAcentral's name for it is "partial 16S ribosomal RNA". It matches the Rfam family "Bacterial small subunit ribosomal RNA", at positions 30 to 507 of the family's 1533-position model. The record is from RNAcentral.
AUUGAACGCUGGCGGCAUGCCUUACACAUGCAAGUCGAACGGUAACGGGCCUUCGGGUGCCGACGAGUGGCGAACGGGUGUGUAAUACAUCGGAACGUGCCCGAUCGUGGGGGAUAACGAGGCGAAAGCUUUGCUAAUACCGCAUACGAUCUACGGAUGAAAGCAGGGGACCGCAAGGCCUUGCGCGGACGGAGCGGCCGAUGGCAGAUUAGGUAGUUGGUGGGAUAAAAGCUUACCAAGCCGACGAUCUGUAGCUGGUCUGAGAGGAUGAUCAGCCACACUGGGACUGAGACACGGCCCAGACUCCUACGGGAGGCAGCAGUGGGGAAUUUUGGACAAUGGGCGCAAGCCUGAUCCAGCCAUGCCGCGUGCAGGAUGAAGGCCUUCGGGUUGUAAACUGCUUUUGUACGGAACGAAAAGCCUUCUUUUAAUACAGGAGGGUCAUGACGGUACCGUAAGAAUAAGCACCGGCUAACUACGUG